CUACUUCGUUCCUUAUAUAUAGUAGGAAGGUAAAUUACUUUCAUCCUUACUACACCUCCCUUACAAAAAAACGUUAUCAAGUUAAUCACCAAAGAACCAUGGACCUCACGUAUUUUCAAGUUCAGUAUAGUUCCUCCCAAGACCUUUUAUUGAAUAGCUAAAAGGUAAAGCCUCCCAUCCCUCAUUAUCAAACCAACGAAUCACUGCCAAAACAGAGAAUAACGAACACAAAUGAAAUAAGAAUCAGAUAGCAAACCAAGUUUAAGUCCAUUUUGACAUUGAAUAACAGGGGAUAAAGAAUUAGACAAACAGGCAACCAUAUAUCAUUUGAAGCAGAGUGGGAUAGAAGAGAUGACCUUAGAUAUACAUUUUCCAAAUGAAAUCUGAAAACGUUUAACAGAACUCGACGGAACCGCGAUAGAAUUUAGCAACGGACCUCGACACCUCGGAUUUGCUAACGGACAGCUCGAAACCCAAAUACGACCUCAAUCAAACUCCAUGAGCCGAGAUCGAAACAGAAGUCGAAACUUUAUGUAUGAACAAACUCAACCAGAAGCUUUGGAAGAAUAAAAAUCAGAAGCAAAACCAAAGCCCCCAGCUUUCUUUAGUUCUGCGUGUGUGUUUACCGGCAGCAGGGAUCUAAGCGACAGCCAUGUCUCUCCACAAUAGAGAGAGUUUGGAGAUGAAGGGUGAGGCAGCGGCUCGUUCUAGCCUUGGAGCUCGUCGGUGAGUUGAGCUCAGGCACGAGAGGCGACCACCUCCAUUUUAAGAGAGACGGGAGAGCUUGGAGGCUAUUUUCAUCAGAGAGGAGGAAUCGAGUUUUUGGGGAGGCCCUUAGGAGAUGUAGGAUUAGCGUUUUUCUUUGGGGGAGGGAGGGUCCUCGGGGUUC
Molecule: long non-coding RNA, 889 nt
Filed under: Nicotiana tabacum (common tobacco)
Lineage: Eukaryota; Viridiplantae; Streptophyta; Magnoliopsida; Solanales; Solanaceae
Description: long non-coding RNA (NTAB_LNC010693)
Source: RNAcentral